Pelobates cultripes (western spadefoot toad) is the source of this 3577-nucleotide non-coding RNA. The record is from the annotation of a GenBank genome assembly. NCBI's taxonomy places the organism in Eukaryota, Metazoa, Chordata, Amphibia, Anura, Pelobatidae.
UUGUUGAAUUAAAAACAGACGCAUUUAUUAAAGGUUAACUGUAGAACAGAGAAACACCAUCACAAAAAUCACAUUAUAAAUUUUUCUCGCAAACAAUUUUUUCAGUGCAACAAUCCCAUAAGUAAAAAUAAAUCAAAUCAUUAAUUAUAUUAACUGAAAUGUUGUCACAUAUUAAAUAUUAUAACAGACAAGAAUAAUCAGACGCAAUAUUUUCAGUUUAUAAUUGCUAUAUACAAAAAGAUAUAUAGAAAUACAAAAAGAUUUAUAGUAAUCAGAAAUGUCACAAUUUAUAUCCAAAAAUCUGUAUAAAGCUCUGCGGACAAAUUUAAGGCACAUGUUAUGAUUAAUUUUUGUAAAAAAUAUUUUUUGUUAUCAAUUCAGGAAUGUGAUUAGCUAUUUUUAUUUGUUCUUUUACAAAUUAAGACAAAACCUGCUAAGUACAAAAAGAUCAGCUUCUUUUAUGACAAACUUUCAUACUUGGCAAUGUGCUGUGUACUAGUGCAAACUAUUGUUCCCUGUCUAAAACAAAAUUCAGGUAAUGCAUAUUCCCAAAAGACAUUUUUUUUUAUUUAUUUUUUUAAAAUCUUUUAUUGAGAUUUUUCUUUUUUUUUUUUGUACAAAGGAAUUCAAUACAUACAUUUUCGUGGAAGUUUAGGACCUAAUUUCGGUGGAAAAGAGAUUUUUAAAAUGUAUUUAUUUUAGAGAACAAAUCCCAUACUUUGAGGUCAUACAAUGUAUUAUAACAUGUACUGCGAAGACAUUGUGCAUCAGUCUACCCCUAACCUCUGGGUGGAAAAUAAUAUGUCUUAACUUCUCAAAGAUUAGUGGGGUUACACUCUUGCUGUUUUGAUCGAGAAAUGUAAAACAUUGCCGUUUUUUGUAGAUGUUUUCAUUGCAGAGCUAAACACUCCUCUAGCGGUUGUCUUCCUGACAGCUUCAAAAUUAAAACUAAAAGUGAACGGUCACUUCUUUUGUAUUUACACUAUUUUCAAUGGAAGCACCUAUAAUUUGUAUACUUUUUUUCCUGAGAUGAUCUGUUUUCUGAUAAAUUUAAAGAAAUAGCAAGAGACAUAUUAAUACAGUUCAAACAAGGCAAAGCCAGGGCUAACAUUGCAAGUGAGGAGGGGGGAAAAUAGUUUAAUUCCUCCUAUUCUCCAUAUGCUUUCUCUACGCUGCCUGCCAGGUGCAAAGCACAGAGUUUAUAACAGUGAUUGACAGGGAUCGAACAUGGAGGUGUGGAUUUCUAAAUUUGAAUUUCUUCCUUUUUUUUUUUACACCUUGCAAAUACAUAUUUUGCUAAAUAUAGGCAUGAUUAAACUCCUAUUUAAUAAAUAUAGGUAUGAGUAAACUCAUAUUAUUAAAAAUCCAGGGAAGAGACUGUCCCCAAUUAAUUCAGUCCCUUUCCCACUACUGAUAUGCUGAGGUGAGGGUAUGGGGAAACAGAAAUUGAGUUACUCUCUCCUGGUAUAUCAUGAACUUGGUCCAUCCAUGUUGCUUAUUAAUGUAUCGAUUAUGUAUUUUGUAUAAAUAUCAGUUAAAGGAGAGGGAGUGAAUUAUAGGAGACAGAGACAAUGCAAUUCUCUCUCGCUACCUCCUCUCCCACUAUAAAACUAAGCUGCAAAUGGCAGCUGCUACCAAGAGCAACCCCCAACAAUCUUGGAUAGACCAAGACAUUUAUGCCUUAGGUCGGCCCUAAGGGUAAAGCAACCAUAUCCCUACAAAGUAAAAAAAAAAAUAUAUAUAUAUAUCAUCUCUGAGUUCUGGAUAUAGUUUGAAUUUCAGUAUUGUAAUGAAUUUUGUAGUCUCCAGAACCCCUCAAUUAUAUUUUCCCAUAAUAAUGCUUAUAUUUAGUACCUAAGCCUUGCACUAUUCAACUCGGAUCAAUUAGUGGUCCUGGUGCAAGAUCUGGCUUGAACUCCGCAUCAAUGAAAGCACUCUUUAUCGUUCAGUGUUACAGCUUCUUUUUUAGCAGUUUAUCAUAUAUACAUUUGCAACUGAUAAAGAUGCAGCAAUAUGUACAUAUAAAAUCCACAAUGUGUGUACAUAUACACACAGUGUGAUACCUAUGAGAUCGCACAAAUUUAAAAAAAAAAAAAAAAAGAGGGGCAUCGAAAUAGUUUUUUUUAGUGUAGCAUUACUUGUAUUUACAUAAAAUGUAUAUUUUUCCUAAAAGAUAUUUGUUUUAUUUAAUGCACAUUAGCUCCAACAAUAAAUAGAAUUUGUCUUUUUGUACUGGGGAUUUUUUUUCCCCUCCCAACACUCAGUUUCUUUUCAAUUCUCAUCCAGCCAGUGAGAUGGAAGUGCUACUUCUAUAAAUUCAAUGCAUGCAAUUUAAAUCAAUAGAUUUAGUGGAAAAUGUAAUCGGUAUGUUGUCCACAUAGUGAGCAUUUGCUAUAUACAUCAUUUUCUACAGUCUAAAUCUUUUUCUUCUACAUGUACAUAGACCCUGGUGUUCAUCAGAAACACUCUUAGCUAUGUAUUGGGUGUUGGUAUUUUAGAUUAUGAUCAUUCUUGAGCAAUAUUAUAUUAAAAAAAAAUAUGCUGGCAAUUUUAGGAUACUUUUUAUCAAAAUAAUUAUUUUAAAUAGUAUUUUCUAAAAAAAAAAAAAAAAUGCUUUACAUGUAUACUUGGCGGUGACAGUGUAUAUAAAUAGACAAAAUAUGCAUCACCACUUUCAAUGGGAAUUUGAGAAAAAAGUAAGAUGUACUUGAAAUUGUUAGAAAAAAAUGCUUUGAAUCAGUCUUCAUCAUGAUGAAUCUGCUUAUAAAGUUACACGCUGCACUGUUUAAUAUGUCAUUUAGAAAUACAAAUUGGACAGGAUAGAGCCCUGUAGUUCAUGACACAAAUACCUGCAACAGAUUCAGAACUUCUACACCUGGGUCCUCAGUAGGAUCUUUAAAUGUUUGCUUUCUCAUAAAGAAUAUUUAUUCAACUCUAGAUCAUAUAUUCUUUUAAAUAUGUAUAUAAACAAACUAAGAGUAAAUACAAUUUAAAGCAUAUAGAACCGAACUACAAAAACAGCUUUGCCUUAAAACUGUGGUACUGAUUUACCCAAUCAUAUGGUGUUUUCAGAAGUGGAUUUUGUUUCUUAGGGUUUGGUUAUUUUUGAAUAAAAAGAAACAAUUUACAGUUAACUUGUGACGUUGCAGGUUGCUCACUUAUCUCAAGGGGCUUUAACAUUGAAAGCCAAUUGUUUCUCAUAUCCUGAAGUUCAAAAAGUUCCUCACUUGAUUCAGACCUCUUUUUGUACCCCCAAAUAAAUCAAAAUGUAUUGACACUCCUGCAGCAAAUAAUAAAAUGACCAUCAUUCCAACCACAAUGAUAUUUCAUGACCUACUGUUAAAUAUGGCAUACCUACUGAUGUUUGUGGUCAAUAACUUUAAAAAUCCCACCUCCACUCAAUCAAGUUAGAAGGCACAUAACACCAAGGACACAGGUUUAUCUUGUGAACAGAACAAAGACGUUCUGUGUUAAAGUGGCUAAGGAGAAAAUCUUAGAAGCCGGUCCAUAUAAAUGAGUUUAGAUAUUUUUCUAAAUUAACUAGAAGCUUGUUAUGAACACAAACAUGACUUAUUAA